This 328-nucleotide ribosomal RNA is filed under the name uncultured bacterium. RNAcentral's name for it is "bacterial SSU rRNA". It matches the Rfam family "Bacterial small subunit ribosomal RNA", at positions 28 to 334 of the family's 1533-position model. The record is from RNAcentral.
GACGAACGCUGGCGGCGUGCCUAACACAUGCAAGUCGAACGGAGAUAUAUGCUGAAGAAUAGCUUGCUAUGAUUCUUAUAUAUCUUAGUGGCGGACGGGUGAGUAACGCGUGAGCAACCUACCUUUCAGAGGGGGAUAACGUUUGGAAACGAACGCUAAUACCGCAUGAUAUUAUUAAGCUGCAUGGCUUGAUAAUCAAAGGAGCAAUCCGCUGAAAGAUGGGCUCGCGUCCGAUUAGGUAGUUGGUGAGAUAACGGCCCACCAAGCCGACGAUCGGUAGCCGGACUGAGAGGUUGAACGGCCACAUUGGGACUGAGACACGGCCCAG